UACGGAGGGUCCAAGCGUUAUCCGGAUUUAUUGGGUUUAAAGGGUGCGUAGGCGGAAUAAUAAGUCAGAGGUGAAAUCCUGCAGCUCAACUGUAGAACUGCCUUUGAUACUGUUAUUCUUGAAUCUAGUUGAAGUAGGCGGAAUGUAACAUGUAGCGGUGAAAUGCAUAGAGAUGUUACAGAACACCGAUUGCGAAGGCAGCUUACUAAACUAGCAUUGACGCUGAUGCACGAAAGCGUGGGGAGCGAAGAGG
This 253-nucleotide ribosomal RNA is filed under the name uncultured bacterium. RNAcentral describes it as "partial 16S ribosomal RNA". It matches the Rfam family "Bacterial small subunit ribosomal RNA", at positions 524 to 776 of the family's 1533-position model. The record is from RNAcentral.